Long non-coding RNA from Pongo pygmaeus (Bornean orangutan), 1367 nucleotides. RefSeq lists it as uncharacterized. The record is from RefSeq and is a predicted model, not a curated record. Lineage: Eukaryota; Metazoa; Chordata; Mammalia; Primates; Hominidae. The transcript has 2 exons.
GAUUUCAAUGAGAAAUGCAGAAAAUUUAUAGGGAACUGUAAAAUGGGGACAGAUUUUUAGUUUUCUAAAUUGAGGUUUAACUGGCAAACUUGUAAAGGUUGAAGAAACCACAGAGCCAAGCUAUGGGGAAGCUGGUUUCUUUUCUGGUCAGGACGAAUAAACAUACAAACACAUAUCUAACUCACAAAGUAUUGAAAGAGAGAAAGCAAUGCUCUUUCCAGAGGAGGAACACGGAAAAAUCAGCCUUGUGGGUGAACAGGAGGAGAGUCACAUUCGCCAGCAGGCAGCACCCUGUGCAGGCAGCGGGAGAAAUCCGAGCUUCAGCAGCGUCCAGAGCAGGAUUUGCACAAAGUCUCCCGUUUCAAGUUUUAUGUCUCCUAGAGUCCUGGGGAAGGCACCCAGCCCACCCACAGCUCCCUUCUCAGAGCCCUAAGAAUUGAUGAGAAAGCCCCUCACUACCACACGCAGGACACGCAGAAACUUCAGAUGAGUGGACUGGUCACGUGAUACAGCAAUGACAAAAACUUCAGUAUUGGCAUUCAUUCCAGCUGAUGGCAUUCCAGGAGCUUUUAAUGAAUUAAAGCCACAUUUGCCUGAAGAAGCCAGAGAAGUUACUAACUGGUUCAAAAACGAUUACAUGCAUGAUGGGCAGUAUUGUUGCAGUUCAAUCACCAGUAUUGCUUCCACCAGAUUUGUGGUCUAUAUAUGUGUGCAUAUGGAAUAGAUUUCCACAGACCCACAACACGGAAACAUGGCACAGAAGAUGGGAAAACUUAAUGGGGAAUACUCAUGUAGAUGUGUACUAAACCAUAGAAGAAUUUUGAAAAGAGAAGUGUCACAUAGAAAAUAAAUGUGAACAUAUUCUCCAAGGACAGCCAUGUCCUAAAAGAAAAAAAGCAGCCUUUUUUUUGUGAUGUGAGAUUUCAAAAUAUAGUUAAUGACUGUGAAAGUUGGCCAGCUCUUAUGGACUAUCUCCAUGCAAUUGCCUAUAAUCUAGCUCCAUACUUUUUUAUUUGUUGAAUUUUCUUUUUAGUUUUUUGUUUUUGUUUGUUUUUUAGAUUUUUUCACUAUUAGAAAUUGUCAGCAUUGUGUUUUAUAAUUUGUUAUGCUACCUAUUUCAUCUUUGCAUCAUUUCCAAUACUGUAUGCAUCGUAUAGAGAGUUUUAGAGAGUUCUAAUUUGCUUUGUGCAUUUUUGCAAAUGUAACUCCAUGAAAGUAUAUUAUCAAAAUGUUGAACUUGUGUGUAAGCAGCAUGUGUGUGCAUAAAGACAUUAAAACUUCCUCAUUAAAUGAAAUUGUAUCUUCUUUGUACAUCUGCUUUUAUGAAAAAUAAAAUUUCUCAAUGCCUUGGCUCUUUGGGCAACUGA